UACGUAGGGUGCAAGCGUUGUCCGGAAUUAUUGGGCGUAAAGAGCUCGUAGGCGGUUUGUUGCGUCGGCUGUGAAAUCCCGAGGCUCAACCUCGGGUCUGCAGUCGAUACGAGCAAACUAGAGUGUUGCAGGGGAGACUGGAAUUCCUGGUGUAGCGGUGAAAUGCGCAGAUAUCAGGAGGAACACCAGUGGCGAAGGCGACUACCUGGCCUGUUCUUGACGCUGAGGCGCGAAAGCUAGGGGAGCAAACGGG
Molecule: ribosomal RNA, 253 nt
Filed under: uncultured bacterium
Lineage: Bacteria
Description: partial 16S ribosomal RNA
Rfam family: Bacterial small subunit ribosomal RNA
Source: RNAcentral